This 1168-nucleotide long non-coding RNA is filed under the name Piliocolobus tephrosceles (Ugandan red Colobus). RNAcentral's name for it is "lncRNA (ENSPTEG00000006631.1)". Lineage: Eukaryota; Metazoa; Chordata; Mammalia; Primates; Cercopithecidae. The record is from RNAcentral.
UAAAUAUAUUUUUAAUAAAAUAAAAAAAAAAAAAAAAAUUUUUAACCAAUGUCAUAUUGAAAUUCCUACUUUACAAAAACAAAUUACUUUUGAUGAAAAUAUAAAUAAUGAUAUAUAUAAUUAUUUAUUUGAAUUUAAUUUUUUUACUUUAAAUGUAUCGAAAUAUUAUAAUAACAAUUUAACUGUAUCUAAAAUAUUUUAUCAUAUUUUUAAAGUAGCUUUAUUUCUUCAUCCAUUAUGCUAUGUUAACUCUUUUAAAAAUUUUACCUUACUACACAAUUAUAUUAUCAAUACAAAGUUGUUAUUACUUAUUUUAAUGAGGUCCUUAAAUAUAUUAAAAAAUAAAAAAAUUACCAACAUUGUUUAUUCCCUUAUUUUUGGAGAAUAUAUAAAUGUUCAAUUUUUAUAUACAAUUUUAUCAAACGAUUUGAAAGAUCCAUAUUUUUAUAGCUACUUUUUUGAUACUCACAAAAAAAUAAACAUUAAUAUAAAUCCAAAUAAUGAUAGUGAAUAUGAAAGUGUUUAUUGUUCUUCUAUUAAUAAUAUUAUGCCACUAUAUAACAAAGAGGAAGAAAACCUUUAUUUAGAGCUAAUAAAUAUGUAUUAUGACCAAGGUGGGGAUUAUAUGAAAAGUUAUAACGAUGGAAAUGAAAACACACACGGUUCUAUACCUACUAACAAUGACAUAAGCACUCAGUUAAACCCAGCGGAAGAAACCAAAUCAGACAAUAAAACUUACCCAGAAGAAUGUACAAAGAGUGAAGUAGAUGAAAAAAUGAACAAAGCAAAAGAUAUAAAGAAGAAUGAUAUAAAAAAGUAUAACGAAUUAAGUAAUCCAAUAUUUUUAAAUUUUUUAUUACUUACAAAUAUACAAAAAGAAAAAAAUAUAAGAAAAAAUGAAAAGAAUAAUAUAAAAAAUAAAAUUUCUGAUAUUUAUUUUUUAUUAAGUAUACAAUUUAUUUAUAAUUUUAUUGAAGAAUAUAAUGGCGAUUUAAGUAAUAUGUUUAUACCAUUUUUUAAAAUCUGCGAAUAUAAUUUUUUAUAUGUUUUUUGGAACAUAAUAAAUGUUCAUAUAAAAAGUUUAAAUCUUCGAGUCUUCACUUUAAAGUUAUUAAUCAAUUUAACUUUGUUAUAUACUCAAAAAGUAAAUGACCAAAAAUUGUCUUUG